AGUGAACGCUGGCGGUAGGCCUAACACAUGCAAGUCGAACGGCAGCACAGUAAGAGCUUGCUCUUACGGGUGGCGAGUGGCGGACGGGUGAGGAAUACAUCGGAAUCUACUUUUUCGUGGGGGAUAACGUAGGGAAACUUACGCUAAUACCGCAUACGACCUACGGGUGAAAGCAGGGGAUCUUCGGACCUUGCGCGAUUGAAUGAGCCGAUGUCGGAUUAGCUAGUUGGCGGGGUAACGGCCCACCAAGGCGACGAUCCGUAGCUGGUCUGAGAGGAUGUUCAGCCACACUGAAGCUGGGACACGGUCCAGACUCCUACGGGAGGCAGCAGUGGGGAAUAUUGGACAAUGGGCGCAAUCCUGAUCCAGCCAUGCCGCGUGGGUGAAGAAGGCCUUCGGGUUGUAAAGCCCUUUUGUUGGGAAAGAAAAGCAGCGGGUUAAUACCCCGCUGUUCUGACGGUACCCAAAGAAUAAGCACCGGCUAACUUCGUG
This 492-nucleotide ribosomal RNA is filed under the name uncultured bacterium. Its description in RNAcentral is "partial 16S ribosomal RNA". It matches the Rfam family "Bacterial small subunit ribosomal RNA", at positions 29 to 507 of the family's 1533-position model. The record is from RNAcentral.